CAGUUCUGGGGUCUCAGGAGGCAGCGCUCUCAGGAAGUCUUCACCAUGGCCCGGACUCUGCUCCUCCUCACCCUCCUCAGUCACGGCACAGGUGAU
MicroRNA precursor from Saimiri boliviensis boliviensis (Bolivian squirrel monkey), 96 nucleotides. NCBI's taxonomy places the organism in Eukaryota, Metazoa, Chordata, Mammalia, Primates, Cebidae. The record is from Ensembl.